CAAAUACAGGUCAGAGAUUUGUAAGACCGUAUACCUAAAAGACAGCACUAUGAAGUGGACCUGUGUGUUGCUGCUUGUUGGUCUGAUGGCUUUGACAGUUACAGCGCAGAGUGGUGCUAGCUCUGGAAGGACAUAUCCUUUAACCUGGCCUUUAAUGUGCUGUGUUUGCAUUAGGGCUCCCUGUCCCUGCAUUCCCCCUCACCACCCUAUUUGUAGGUGGCUGGACUAAUCCUGAACAUCAAGGAAAAACGAAAUGAUAACAAUUUUGGGUUCCUUUCAAAUAAAAUGAAAUUGUAUCAUU
This is a long non-coding RNA of Ostrea edulis (European flat oyster), 301 nucleotides long. RefSeq lists it as uncharacterized. The transcript is spliced from 3 exons. The record is from RefSeq and is a predicted model, not a curated record. Lineage: Eukaryota; Metazoa; Mollusca; Bivalvia; Ostreida; Ostreidae.